Non-coding RNA from Mesocricetus auratus (golden hamster), 102 nucleotides. Lineage: Eukaryota; Metazoa; Chordata; Mammalia; Rodentia; Cricetidae. The record is from Rfam.
GUGCUUUGACAGCACAUAUACUAAAAUUGGAACAGUAGAGAGAAGAUUAGCACUGCUCCUGCGCAGGCAGCCUUGUGUUUGCUACAAAUCUGUACCGGUUUU